Molecule: ribosomal RNA, 524 nt
Filed under: uncultured eukaryote
Lineage: Eukaryota
Description: SSU rRNA
Rfam family: Eukaryotic small subunit ribosomal RNA
Source: RNAcentral
UAGCGAGGAACAAUUGGAGGGCAAGUCUGGUGCCAGCAGCCGCGGUAAUUCCAGCUCCAAUAGCGUAUAUUAAAGUUGUUGCAGUUAAAAAGCUCGUAGUUGAAUUUCUGAUUAUGGAUGUAGCGGUUUCCGUUACAUUUGUAGUCAUCCACAUGAGAACCUUUCUCGGCCUUCACUGGUCGGUUGGGGGAUCAUGUACUUUACUUUGAAAAAAUCAGAGUGUUUCAGGCAGGCGUUUGCAUGAAUACACAAGCAUGGAAUAAUGGAAUAGGACUAGGGUCCAUUUUAUUGGUUAUUGGACCAUAGUAAUGAUUAAUAGGGACAGUUGGGGGCGAUUAGUAUUUAAUUGUCAGAGGUGAAAUUCUUGGAUUUAUUAAAGACUAACUUAUGCGAAAGCAUUUGCCAAGGAUGUUUCAUUAAUCAAGAACGAAAGUUAGGGGAUCAAAGACGAUCAGAUACGUCCUAGUCUUAACUAUAAACUAUACCGACUAGGAUUGGUUGGGUCAUUAGAGCCAAUCAGCACC